RNAcentral lists this ribosomal RNA (406 nucleotides) under uncultured bacterium. RNAcentral describes it as "partial 16S ribosomal RNA". It matches the Rfam family "Bacterial small subunit ribosomal RNA", at positions 30 to 526 of the family's 1533-position model. The record is from RNAcentral.
AUUGAACGCUGGCGGCAUGCCUAACACAUGCAAGUCGAACGAGUGGCGGACGGGUGAGUAAUGUCUGGGAAACUGCCUGAUGGCGGGGGAUAACUACUGGAAACGGUGGCUAAUACCGCAUACCAUCGGAUGUGCCCAUAUGGGAUUAGCUAGUAGGUGGGGUAAAGGCUCACCUAGGCGACGAUCCGUAGCUGGUCUGAGAGGAUGACCAGCCACACUGGAACUGAGACACGGUCCAGACUCCUACGGGAGGCAGCAGUGGGGAAUAUUGCACAAUGGGCGAAAGCCUGAUGCAGCCAUGCCGCGUGUAUGAAGAAGGCCUUCGGGUUGUAAAGUACUUUUAGCGGGGAGGCGUUACCUGCAGAAGAAGCACCGGCUAACUCCGUGCCAGCAGCCGCGGUAAUUC